UUAUGAAGGUGGAGGUAACUUCCAAUUUCUAAGGCCACAGAGUAAAAUAAUUUGGAUAGAACUAUUGACUACUUAUCUUUAGCAGAAGGUAUAUUUUUAACUACAGCUUUCUGCUUUGUUCUAAGAACUAGGCAAAAGUGGUAUAUCUUCAAUCCAAUCAACAUAUAUACCACGUAUCUUCCUCUUCACUUCUGUCCAUUUUGAUUUGUACUUCAUAUCCUGCACUUGCUGCUUAGAAAUAGUCUUACUCUGGACAUUGAAAGUAGAAAAAGUACUUGAAACAAUCAUUGGCACAGCCCGAGAUUCCAUUGAAUCGUGGACUCCAAGCUUUCAUAGCUCUAUAAAGAAAAUGACAAAACAUCAUACAACUGGCAUUCAGCUUUUAACAUGUGCACAACCUGAGCGAGUUAGCAAGCCCCUUGUUGCGUUCCCAUUGAAUAGACCUACUUCUGUUAUCCACAGAAGAUCCACCACUCAAAAUGUUUAUCACCAAGCCAUUCCUAAACUGAGUAGAAACUUCCGCACAUCUCUCAGCAUUUACAUGAAGAAAUCGACACCUAUCCUCAUAUUUGCAAGUUUUCUGAUAAUAGAACUCUCCACAAAGCUGCAUUUCACUAAGCAAUCUAGCCUCUGCAUUUAUAGCAAAGUGACAUUGAUUCCCGUAUUUGUAAUCACCUAACUUGGGUUUUGGGCAUAGCAUGGUCUUAAAAUUACCACCCAUUACUUUGUUCAGUGCCACUGGCAUUCACAAGCUCUAGCCCUGUUAGCUGAAUCAUAUUUAAUGGGACAGUGAGGCAGCAUUUCACUAACAUGUUCAAUUUGACUACUCAUAUUGACGCAAAUAUUAGAAUUUGAAAUCACUUCUUUUCUUGGAAUAUUAUAUUAAAAUGACCCCAAAUGAAAGUUCUUGAAUGGAAAUGAUUUUUAUUUAAUCUUCCAACAGAUUCAAGAAAACCCAGAUAACACAAAAUUUACACAGUAAUAUGAUUAAGAGCUAAGAACGUACAUGUAGUAAAUGUCUAUCAAAAAACACCAAAGGGUUUCUUUAAAAUUAGAAACUAAGAAUCAUUUUACAUUUUUAGCAACUUUGGGGUGAGUGAGUGAGUGAGAAAGUGAAACCCUAAAGUGAUGACAACAAUAGAUUCAGUAUGAAGUGAAACCCCAAUUUGAAAUGUAGGCAUGAGUUGCUGAGUCAGUAGAUGAAAUUAUAAUUAGGCAUUCGGUAUCUUUCUUUUCGGUUUGGAGGGCCAUGGAAUAGUGUAUUGGAGUGGGCUCUAAGUAAUAGCCUCUAUCACUGCAAUGACACAUUUGCAAAACGUGAUACAUAGGGAAGGAUUGGGCAUUAUACUCUUAUAUUAGUGCCUUAUUUAGGGUGUAUAUUAAGUAGAUUAUAUAUUACAUGGAGAUGGAGUUUAUAAAAUAAAUUAAAAAGAAAAGGAAAUUUAGUGUUUAGAGUUUGCCACUUGGAAUAUUUCGGUGUCUAAACAUUCACUCACCACUUAUUUCAUGUCUGAUUAUAUGUUGAAAAGAUAUUAAAGUAAUUUAACGCAAUUAAGGCUUAACGUAUAUUUUUUAUUAGUAGAGUGUAGAACUUUUAAGAAAUAUAUUAUUAAAUUACUAUAACUAACAUAUUAUUUUAAAGUUGUGUUAUGAAAAAAAAUGAAAUAAAAACGUAAAGUAAAUAAGAAUAUUCUAAAACUUUUAUCUUUUUAAAAUUAGUUUUUAACAUAAGGUGAACAAUUUUUUUUUAAAUCACAUAUUCUAGUUAAAAUCAAAUAUGUAUUUAUAUGAAGCUUGUAAAUUUUUUUUUAGUACUGAUAUUUGAAUAUUAUCAAUAAAAAAAAAAGGGUAAUGUUCAUGCUGCAUUAUUUUUGUAGCACACAAAAGGACAACACCGUUUAUGUUAUAAUACUAUUGCUUCUGUUAUGAUAGUAUUUUUGUUAGUGGCAAAAUAUCAUUUUUUUUUUAAGUAAAAAGGUGGACAGAAUGCAAAUCAGUUUUUAAUCCUCAAUUUCUCCCAAAAUUUAAAUUCGUAAUUAGUCAAAUAAAAUUGAUCGAAAACCAUUAAGCUAGGUCCAUGGGUUGUUAAAACUAUAGCUGACAAAAAGUUACUAACAAAAACAGAAUGUCCAUUUUAUAACUUUCUUAAAAAACUUUCUUUAACUUUUUUAAAAAGUUACCAACAAAAAGUUAUUUCCAAUUUUUAUUUUGUUAUAAUGUUUAUAACAAAAUUCGUAGUUAACUAAACUCUUCUUAUCCCCUUUCUCAACUGCCAUACCCUAACCACGCUCAAUUUAGGCCAUCACAGUGACCGACAGCCUCCCUAUCUCCAUUUCAAGCUCCCUCUUCAACUGGCUUCUGCUUCGGUCGUACUCUUUCUUGGAUUCAGAGUCCGUAUUUGCUCGGCCGGUCCCGCACAACUCCCUCUCACUCCAAUUGUCACCCAACAAGACCAAUUGCUUACUCAAGGCACAGAACAAGAAGAGGAUGAGAAGUUGAAACAAGAAUUUGAGAAUUGGAAAUCGAAAUCGAAAACGUACGCAUUGACCAUGCCUUUAAGGGUUGUUUCUCUUCAGAAUUCAGUGCCUCAAUCUUGGGUUUAGGAUUUUAUGCGAAGUCAAGGAAAGAGAUUGAAGUUUCAGAUGAAUUUGUGUGCUAGCAUUGAUGGGAUCUUUAACAAUUUAUCUGUGCCCUUUAACAAAGUUAAGGCUAAGUCAGCUUCUUAUAUGGCUGCUGAUUUGGUUAGUGUUGGUGAUUCAUGGCUUAGUUUUGCCAUUAAAAAGAGAUUGAUUGAGCCAAUUGCUGGAACUGAAGAUCAAGAUUGGUUCAAAUACUUAAGUCAAAAAUGGAAGGUAACAUACUAACAUCUUUAUCUUUGACCCGAUAAUUUUUAUUGUCUUACAUUGAAAUUUGGUAAUGUAAUUUGUUCUCUAUUUGUGUUACCCUUAGUAGUCGUUUUAUUUAUUUGUUUAUUUGCUUUUAUUUGCACUAACGAAAUCUCAGGUAUAUCUACGCAGGAAUGAUGCAGGAGAAAUUGAUCCUCGAGGUAAAAUAUGGGCGGCACCAUACAGGUGGGGCACAACGGUGAUAGCCUCCAAGAAAAGUAAAUUUCGAAAGCAUAAUUUGGCUCCGAUUGAGGUAAUAAUUUUCUUUAAACUCAUUUAGUUUUAUAUCAAACAAAAUCAAGACUGCCUUUCUCUUCAAUAUUUUUUAUGAUAAUAUCUUUAGAAGCAUCUCAUUGACAGGUAACAAUGGCAUCCCUGAAAGAGUCUAUAAACUCAAUGAUAUUAUCUUCUACAAAUGGUUCAUUAAACUUUGUCGUUGUACUCAAAUGUACACUCAGAUCAAUGAGAAGCUAUGCCACUUUAGCAUGUAGUGAUGGCACUUAAUAAGUGAGUUGCUAGGAUGUGAACUAGAAAAAUUAAAUAUUGUCUCCUUGGGUAUGCUAGCUUGUAAGUCAGGGUUAAUAUCAGAGCUUAAGAUACUAUAACCGUGAGAACCUAUUGACUGCCAAUUAAAAUAUCCAUUAAAAUGUCUAGGGAGUUAUGAAGGUGGAGGUUACUUCCAAUUUCUAAGGCCACAGAGUAGACAUCAUCCAGGAUCCUAGGAAAGUCCAGUUAACCUCCUGCUCGAUGCAAUUAAUAAAUUUGGUCAAUGCCACUGAAACCUGUUAACUGACGUCACAAUGCGACAUGAGCACUUCAAAAUGGGACAGACGGUCAGUAGCACUAAAUUUUUCUUGCCUAAGAUUGAGCAAUUGGUCUAACUACUAAUCCCUAUUGUAGGUUGAUCAUUAUUUUUUCAAUUAU
This 3809-nucleotide long non-coding RNA is filed under the name Citrus maxima (pomelo). Its description in RNAcentral is "long non-coding RNA (CMAX_LNC001450)". The record is from RNAcentral. Lineage: Eukaryota; Viridiplantae; Streptophyta; Magnoliopsida; Sapindales; Rutaceae.